CUAACACUGGAGCUAACACUGGAAAGCUCACGUUUGGACACGGCACCAUCCUUAGGGUCCAUCCAA
Mus musculus (house mouse) is the source of this 66-nucleotide non-coding RNA. Lineage: Eukaryota; Metazoa; Chordata; Mammalia; Rodentia; Muridae. The record is from the annotation of a RefSeq genome assembly.